Ornithorhynchus anatinus (platypus) is the source of this 400-nucleotide long non-coding RNA. RefSeq lists it as uncharacterized. NCBI's taxonomy places the organism in Eukaryota, Metazoa, Chordata, Mammalia, Monotremata, Ornithorhynchidae. The transcript has 3 exons. The record is from RefSeq and is a predicted model, not a curated record.
GGUCGGCCGGGCUCAGCCCCGUAUAAAGGCCGGGGAGGACCCGACCGGGCCACGGCCACCGCCGCCGCAGGACCAGCCGCGCCACCGCACCGCACCAAAGCCCUCCCGUCCUUCCCUCCUUUCCUCCUUCCUUCCCUCCGCCCCGAUGGGGCCCGCGCUGGGCCCGGUCCGCCCGGGCCUGGGCCUUUUCCCGUUCCUGCUCCUCGUCGUCGUCGCCGCCGCGCAGGGAGCCAGGGACCCCCAGGGCCAAAAGAGAGGCCACCCCCGGCGCCCCUCCGGUCCGACCAGAGCGAAGUGGGCUUCGCCGGCCCCCCGGCUCCUCCGACCCCCGGGACCCCGGCGUCCCAGACUUUCCUCCCCCACGGUGGGAUCCCCCGACCCCCUCCUUGCGGACAAGAGA